UGGGGAAUAUUGCACAAUGGGCGAAAGCCUGAUGCAGCAACGCCGCGUGAGUGAUGAAGGUCUUCGGAUUGUAAAGCUCUGUCUUUUGGGACGAUAAUGACGGUACCAAAGGAGGAAGCCACGGCUAACUACGUGCCAGCAGCCGCGGUAAUACGUAGGUGGCGAGCGUUGUCCGGAUUUACUGGGCGUAAAGGGUGCGUAGGCGGAUGUUUAAGUGAGAUGUGAAAUACCCGGGCUUAACUUGGGUGCUGCAUUUCAAACUGGAUAUCUAGAGUGCAGGAGAGGAGAAUGGAAUUCCUAGUGUAGCGGUGAAAUGCGUAGAGAUUAGGA
Molecule: ribosomal RNA, 330 nt
Filed under: uncultured bacterium
Lineage: Bacteria
Description: partial 16S ribosomal RNA
Rfam family: Bacterial small subunit ribosomal RNA
Source: RNAcentral